GUGCUCACUUCAGCAGCACAAAUACUAAAAUUGGAAUGAUAUAGAGAAGACUAGUAUGGCCCCUGCACAAGGAUGGCACACAUAAGGUAUAUAGAACAACACAUAGAU
Small nuclear RNA from Suncus etruscus (white-toothed pygmy shrew), 108 nucleotides. The record is from RefSeq and is a predicted model, not a curated record. Lineage: Eukaryota; Metazoa; Chordata; Mammalia; Eulipotyphla; Soricidae.